This 253-nucleotide ribosomal RNA is filed under the name uncultured bacterium. Its description in RNAcentral is "partial 16S ribosomal RNA". It matches the Rfam family "Bacterial small subunit ribosomal RNA", at positions 524 to 776 of the family's 1533-position model. The record is from RNAcentral.
UACGUAGGUGGCAAGCGUUGUCCGGAUUUAUUGGGCUUAAAGGGUGCGUAGGCGGUCCUACAAGUGAGAUGUGAAAUCCCCAGGCUUAACCUGGGAACUGCAUCCGAUACUGGAUGGCUUGAAUCCGGGAGAGGGAUGCAGAAUUCCAGGUGUAGCGGUGAAAUGCGUAGAUAUCUGGAGGAAUACCGGUGGCGAAGGCGGCAUCCUGGACCGGCAUUGACGCUGAUGAGCGAAAGCUAGGGGAGCAAACGGG